CCUACGUGAGGCUGCAGUGGGGAAUAUUGCACAAUGGGGGAAACCCUGAUGCAGCGACGCCGCGUGAGUGAAGAAGUAAUUCGUUAUGUAAAGCUCUAUCAGCAGGGAAGUAAAUGACCGUACCUGAGUAAGAAGCCCCGGCUAACUACGUGCCAGCAGCCGCGGUAAUACGUAGGGGGCAAGCGUUAUCCGGAUUUACUGGGUGUAAAGGGAGCGUAGACGGCAUUGCAAGUCUGGAGUGAAAGGCGGGGGCUCAACCCCCGGAGUGCUCGGGAAACUGGACGGCUGGAGUGCAGGAGAGGUAAGUGGAAGUCCUAGUGGAGCGGUGAAAUGCGUAGAUAUUAGGAGGAACACCAGUGGCGAAGGCGGCUUACUGGAAUGUAACUGACGUUGAGGCUCGAAAGCGUGGGGAGCAAACAGGAUUAGAGACCCCAGUAGUC
This 440-nucleotide ribosomal RNA is filed under the name uncultured bacterium. Its description in RNAcentral is "partial 16S ribosomal RNA". It matches the Rfam family "Bacterial small subunit ribosomal RNA", at positions 338 to 795 of the family's 1533-position model. The record is from RNAcentral.